UAGGGAAUCUUCGGCAAUGGACGAAAGUCUGACCGAGCAACGCCGCGUGAGUGAGGAAGGUUUUCGGAUCGUAAAACUCUGUUGGUAGAGAAGAACGUUGGUGAGAGUGGAAAGCUCAUCAAGUGACGGUAACUACCCAGAAAGGGACGGCUAACUACGUGCCAGCAGCCGCGGUAAUACGUAGGUCCCGAGCGUUGUCCGGAUUUAUUGGGCGUAAAGCGAGCGCAGGUGGUUUAUUAAGUCUGGUGUAAAAGGCAGUGGCUCAACCAUUGUAUGCAUUGGAAACUGGUAGACUUGAGUGCAGGAGAGGAGAGUGGAAUUCCAUGUGUAGCGGUGAAAUGCGUAGAUAUAUGGAGGAACACCGGUGGCGAAAGCGGCUCUCUGGCCUGUAACUGACACUGAGGCUCGAAAGCGUGGGGAGCAAACAGGAUUAGAUACCCUGGUAGUCCACGCCGUAAACGAUGAGUGCUAGAUGUAGGGAGCUAUAAGUUCUCUGUAUCGCAGCUAACGCAAUAAGCACUCCGCCUGGGGAGUACGACCGCAAGGUUGAAAC
This 553-nucleotide ribosomal RNA is filed under the name uncultured bacterium. RNAcentral describes it as "partial 16S ribosomal RNA". It matches the Rfam family "Bacterial small subunit ribosomal RNA", at positions 355 to 900 of the family's 1533-position model. The record is from RNAcentral.